Molecule: ribosomal RNA, 1556 nt
Filed under: uncultured archaeon
Lineage: Archaea
Description: bacterial SSU rRNA
Rfam family: Archaeal small subunit ribosomal RNA
Source: RNAcentral
CCCGACUGCUAUCGGGGUGGCGCUAAGCCAUGGGAGUCGCACAUCCCACCGCCGUGGGGUGUGGCGGACGGCUGAGUAACACGUGGCUAACCUACCCUCGGGACGGGGACAACUCCGGGAAACUGGAGCUUAUCCCCGAUAGGCGGGGAGUCCUGGAACGGUUCUCCGCCCAAAGGGAUGGAAGGGAGUUAUCGCCUUCUAUCCGCCCGAGGAUGGGGCUGCGUCCCAUCAGGUUGUUGGCGGGGUAACGGCCCGCCAAGCCUAUAACGGGUAGGGGCCGUGAGAGCGGGAGCCCCCAGAUGGGCACUGAGACAAGGGCCCAGGCCCUACGGGGCGCACCAGGCGGGGAACCUCCGCAAUGCGGUAACCCGUGACGGGGUCACCCCGAGUGCUCCCCUUAUGGGGAGCUUUUCCCCGCUGCAGGAAGGCGGGGGUAAUAAGUGGGGGGCAAGACUGGUGUCAGCCGCCGCGGUAAUACCAGCCCCACGAGUGGUCGGGACGGUUAUUGGGCCUAAAGCGCCCGUAGCCGGCCCAGCAAGUUCCUGCCUAAAUCACCGGGCUCAACCCGGUGACUGGUGGGAAUACUGCUGGGCUAGGAGGCGGGAGAGGCCGGGGGUACUCCUAGGGUAGGGGCGAAAUCCUAUAAUCCUAGGAGGACCACCAGUGGCGAAGGCGCCCGGCUGGAACGCGCUCGACGGUGAGGGGCGAAAGCUGGGGGAGCAAACCGGAUUAGAUACCCGGGUAGUCCCAGCUGUAAACGAUGCGGACUAGGUGUUGGACGGACCUAGGGUCCGUCCAGUGCCGCAGGGAAGCCGUUAAGUCCGCCGCCUGGGGAGUACGGCCGCAAGGCUGAAACUUAAAGGAAAGAGAGCGUUGGGGGUCACUUUGAAAAUAAUAAAUACAUCUUGAAGUAUGGAAUCCCUGAUUAAAACUUCUCAAUUUUCCCCUUAUACUUAAUACACUUAUAGUGACCCCCACCUCUCCCUGAAUUGGCGGGGGAGCACCACAAGGGGUGGAGCCUGCGGCUUAAUUGGAGUCAACGCCGGGAACUUUACCGGGGGCGACAGCAGGAUGACGGCCAGGCUAAUGACCUUGCCCGACGCGCUGAGAGGAGGUGCACGGCCGUCGCCAGCUCGUGCCGUGAGGUGUCUGGUUAAGUCCAGCAACGAGCGAGACCCCCGCCCCUAAUUGCUACCCGCUCCUUCGGGAGCGGGGCACAUUAGGGGGACUGCCGGCGUCUAAGCCGGAGGAAGGUGGGGGCCACGGCAGGUCAGCAUGCCCCGAAACCCCCGGGCUGCACGCGGGCUACAAUGGCUGGGACAGCGGGAACCGACCUCGAAAGAGGGAGGUAAUCCCUCAAACCCAGCCGCAGUUGGGAUCGAGGACUGAAACCCGUCCUCGUGAACGAGGAAUCCCUAGUAACCGCGCGUCACCAUCGCGCGGUGAAUACGUCCCUGCUCCUUGCACACACCGCCCGUCGCUCCACCCGAGUGGGGAGAGGGUGAGGCCCUGCUCCGAAUGGGGUAGGGUCGAACCCUCUCCCUGCGAGGGGGGAG